Molecule: long non-coding RNA, 381 nt
Organism: Drosophila sechellia
Lineage: Eukaryota; Metazoa; Arthropoda; Insecta; Diptera; Drosophilidae
Exons: 3
Source: RefSeq, a predicted model, not a curated record
GUAUGCCGGGUUGUUGCUGCCCCAACCACUGCCGAUUCUCCAAGCGGGGAUCUGGGAGCAGGAAUGGCAGUUUAACCAUUUUAUGGAUAUGGCUGGAAAUUCAGAAAGGGGAUUGAUUAAAGGAACAUGGUUGGAAAGUCACCACAACCGAAUAUUGGAUCCUAAACUGAAUUUUUGAACUUUAUCUCUUACUUAUUCAAAAGUUACAAAUCAAUGAUCGAAACAGUGAAAUGGAGGCGGUUUUGGCUUUAAUAUCCCUCAGCACUGAGGAAGAGGUGUUGGCAGCGAACCCAGAACCAGUUGGCAGCGUUAUACUUAGGCUUUAAGCAGGAGCAUGCGACAAAACUGUGCUUUGGGCCGGCUGCUCGGUGGCUGGGUCUG